This is a long non-coding RNA of Rosa chinensis, 717 nucleotides long. RefSeq lists it as uncharacterized. The transcript has 3 exons. Lineage: Eukaryota; Viridiplantae; Streptophyta; Magnoliopsida; Rosales; Rosaceae. The record is from RefSeq and is a predicted model, not a curated record.
GUUUUUCUGAAUUACUUUUGAUUCACCCAAACAUGAGGGUUAUGUUGUAGCUAUUCAUUACCAUUCUUGAACCUAAAUCACUUCUUCCUUGACUCUGUUUUCAUACAGGUCUCACAAGAGUUGCUAAGAUCACUGGGACUGAAGUUGAGUUGUUCUUUAAAGGAACCGCCUUUGAAGGUUAUGAUUUCCGGUGCACCGGCUUCUGGGAAAGGAACUCAGUGUGAAUUGAUUGUCAAGAAGGAUUGAUAUAUGCAUCAUUUAGUUUGGAUUGGUACACAUAUCAACAGGGGACCUUCUAAGAGCUGAAGUGUCAUCUGGGACUGAAAUUGGAAAUAAAGCCAAAGGGUUCAUGAAUGCUGGCAAGUUGGUUCCUGAUGAAAUCGUCACAGCUGUAUGUAUUCUAGGCAUUCACAUGAGUUAGAAAUAUUGCAUUUUUCAUGACUCCGUUAUCUAAUUGGUAACAUAAUCACGUGCAGGGAUUGCUAACUAUGUUCAUAUAUGUUUGUGUUGUAACUCUUGAUCCUCAAACAUUGGAUUGUUUUAUCCCUUGGAAAAACAAUGGAGUUGUAACUUCUAAGUAUAAUAAGAGUCAAAAUGAACAGGCAGUAAUUCACCAUAACAAUUUAUGCUAUAAUAUCUUAUAUUCUUCUCCACCCCUGCAUUCAGCUGUAAUUACUAGCAUAGUUCUACUUUGAAUUAUUUUAUCUCAGUAUGGUC